This 467-nucleotide ribosomal RNA is filed under the name uncultured bacterium. RNAcentral's name for it is "partial 16S ribosomal RNA". It matches the Rfam family "Bacterial small subunit ribosomal RNA", at positions 28 to 507 of the family's 1533-position model. The record is from RNAcentral.
GAUGAACGCUGGCGGCGUGCUUAACACAUGCAAGUCGAACGGAAAGGCCCAAGCUUGCUUGGGUACUCGAGUGGCGAACGGGUGAGUAACACGUGGGUGAUCUGCCCUGCACUUCGGGAUAAGCCUGGGAAACUGGGUCUAAUACCGGAUAGGACCACUUCUUGGAUGGUGUGGUGGAAAGUUUUUUCGGUGUGGGAGGAGCUCGCGGCCUAUCAGCUUGUUGGGGGGGUAAUGGCCUACCAAAGCGUCGACGGGUGGCCGGCCUGUGAGGGUGUACGGCCACAUUGGGACUGAGAUACGGCGCAGACUCCUACGGGAGGCAGAGGUGGGGAAUAUUGCACAAUGGGCGCAAGCCCGAUGCAGCGCAGCGGCGUGGGGGAUGACGGCCUUCGGGUUGUAAACUCCUUUCGCUAGGGACGAAGCGUUUUGUGACGGUACCUGGAGAAGAAGCAACGGCUAACUAAGUG